GCAUAUCAAUAAGCGGAGGAAAAGAAACCAACAGGGAUUGCCCUAGUAACGGCGAGUGAAGCGGCAACAGCUCAAAUUUGAAAUCUGGCUUUCGGGCCCGAGUUGUAAUUUGUAGAGGAUGAUUUUGAUGCGGUGCCUUCCGAGUUCCCUGGAACGGGACGCCAUAGAGGGUGAGAGCCCCGUCUGGUUGGAUGCCAAAUCUCUGUAAAUCUCCUUCGACGAGUCGAGUAGUUUGGGAAUGCUGCUCUAAAUGGGAGGUAUAUGUCUUCUAAAGCUAAAUACCGGCCAGAGACCGAUAGCGCACAAGUAGAGUGAUCGAAAGAUGAAAAGCACUUUGAAAAGAGAGUUAAAAAGUACGUGAAAUUGUUGAAAGGGAAGCGUUUAUGACCAGACUUGGGCUUGGUUAAUCAUCUGGGGUUCUCUCCAGUGCACUUUUCCAGUCCAGGCCAGCAUCAGUUUUCGCCGGGGGAUAAAGGCUUCGGGAAUGUGGCUCCCCUCGGGGAGUGUUAUAGCCCGUUGUGUAAUACCCUGGUGGGGACUGAGGUUCGCGCUUCUGCAAGGAUGCUGGCGUAAUGGUCAUCAACGACCCGUCUUGAAACACGGACCAAGGAGUCGUCUUCGUAUGCGAGUGUUCGGGUGUCAAACCCCUACGCGUAAUGAAAGUGAACGCAGGUGAGAGCUUCGGCGCAUCAUCGACCGAUCCUGAUGUUCUCGGAUGGAUUUGAGUAAGAGCAUACGGGGCCGGACCCGAAAGAAGGUGAACUAUGCCUGUGUAGGGUGAAGCCAGAGGAAACUCUGGUGGAGGCUCGCAGCGGUUCUGACGUGCAAAUCGAUCGUCAAACAUGGGCAUGGGGGCGAAAGACUAAUCGAACCUUCUAGUAGCUGGUUUCCGCCGAU
RNAcentral lists this ribosomal RNA (897 nucleotides) under Fusarium culmorum. RNAcentral describes it as "LSU rRNA". It matches the Rfam family "Eukaryotic large subunit ribosomal RNA", at positions 38 to 965 of the family's 3401-position model. Lineage: Eukaryota; Fungi; Ascomycota; Sordariomycetes; Hypocreales; Nectriaceae. The record is from RNAcentral.